GGUUGCCUCAGUACGGCGAGUGAGCGGCAACAGCUCAAAUUUGAAAUCUGGCCGCAAGGUCCGAGUUGUAAUUUGCAGAGGAUGCUUUUGGCGAGGUGCCUUCCGAGUUCCCUGGAACGGGACGCCAUAGAGGGUGAGAGCCCCGUACGGUUGGACCACCGAGCCUCUGUAAAGCUCCUUCGACGAGUCGAGUAGUUUGGGAAUGCUGCUCUAAAUGGGAGGUGUACGUCUUCUAAAGCUAAAUACCGGCCAGAGACCGAUAGCGCACAAGUAGAGUGAUCGAAAGAUGAAAAGCACUUUGAAAAGAGGGUUAAAAAGUACGUGAAAUUGUUGAAAGGGAAGCGUUUAUGACCAGACUUGGGCUUGGUUGAACAUCCGGCGUUCUCGCCGGUGCACUCUGCCAGUCCAGGCCAGCAUCAGUUUGUCCCGGGGGAUAAAGGCGGUGGGAAUGUGGCUCCCCCGGGAGUGUUAUAGCCCGCCGUGCAAUGCCCUGGGACGGACUGAGGAACGCGCUUCGGCACGGAUGCUGGCGUAAUGGUCAUCAACGACCCGUCUUGACACACCGGACCA
This 570-nucleotide ribosomal RNA is filed under the name Sarocladium oryzae. RNAcentral's name for it is "partial 28S ribosomal RNA". It matches the Rfam family "Eukaryotic large subunit ribosomal RNA", at positions 73 to 668 of the family's 3401-position model. The record is from RNAcentral. Lineage: Eukaryota; Fungi; Ascomycota; Sordariomycetes; Hypocreales; Sarocladiaceae.